UGGGGAAUAUUGCACAAUGGGCGCAAGCCUGAUGCAGCCAUGCCGCGUGUGUGAAGAAGGCCUUCGGGUUGUAAAGUACUUUCAGUCGGGAGGAAGGUGUCAAGGUUAAUAACCUUGGCAAUUGACGUUACCGACAGAAGAAGCACCGGCUAACUCCGUGCCAGCAGCCGCGGUAAUACGGAGGGUGCAAGCGUUAAUCGGAAUUACUGGGCGUAAAGCGCACGCAGGCGGUUGAUUGAGUCAGAUGUGAAAUCCCCGGGCUUAACCCGGGAAUUGCAUCUGAUACUGGUCAGCUAGAGUCUUGUAGAGGGGGGUAGAAUUCCAUGUGUAGCGGUGAAAUGCGUAGAGAUGUGGAGGAAUACCGGUGGCGAAGGCGGCCCCCUGGACAAAGACUGACGCUCAGGUGCGAAAGCGUGGGGAGCAAACAGG
This 429-nucleotide ribosomal RNA is filed under the name Chloroflexota bacterium. RNAcentral describes it as "Chloroflexi bacterium partial 16S ribosomal RNA". It matches the Rfam family "Bacterial small subunit ribosomal RNA", at positions 355 to 776 of the family's 1533-position model. Lineage: Bacteria; Bacillati; Chloroflexota. The record is from RNAcentral.